Molecule: ribosomal RNA, 320 nt
Filed under: uncultured eukaryote
Lineage: Eukaryota
Description: partial 18S ribosomal RNA
Rfam family: Eukaryotic small subunit ribosomal RNA
Source: RNAcentral
CCCCUAGAUGUUCUGGGCCGCACGCGCGCUACACUGAACAGUUCAACAAGUCUUAACCUUGGCCGAUAGGUCUGGGUAAUCUUUGAACGCUGUUCGUGAUUGGGAUAGACCUUUGCAAUUAUGGGUCUUCAACGAGGAAUUCCUAGUAAACGCAAGUCAUCAGCUUGCAUUGAUUACGUCUCUGCCCUUUGUACACACCGCCCGUCGCACCUACCGAUUGAAUGGUCCGGUGAAAUCUCGGGACGGCGGCUUGGUCGCUUGCGUCCGACUGCUGAAACUUGAUUAAACCAUAUCAUUUAGAGGAAGGUGAAGUCGUAACA